UUUACUGGAAAUGGUCACAACGAACUACCGUUAUAACGUACAGAUCCGUUAUGUCCCUCGAGGUACGUUGUAACGAUGUUGGACUGUAUGUCAGUGACCAAUUGUGACAGGUAGAACAAUUAAAUGCACUUCCACUAGAUGGCAGUAAGUACAAUUAACGAGUGGAUCCUCCACCUGUUGCCAUUUGUACAACAGAAGUCAUGGAUUCUUGCAUUUACAUCAGGUUUGUGUUCCGCUAAACAGGCCAGUUUUUGCACUUGCUAAUCAAAAUAUGAGUAAAUUGAGACAAGAUCAUCAGUAUUUCAAUAUGUAUUUAUAUACCGGUCUUUUUGUGACCUUUAGGUUUGGUGCUGUCAGCUCUUUUGAAUGUAAAAUAUGUGCCUUGGAAAGGUAUGCUUAUAAUUUGAUAUCCAUAAGCCCUAUCUUGUGGUUAUAUAACAGCUUUGCAUCACAUGCCAACAAUGCAUAUCAUGAACCUCAAGUAUCUCCUUACAGACACUGCGCCGAGAUUUUACACCUGUGUCGCUCUCUACAUGUAGAUACUUGCCAGGCAUAACAUAAGUGAGGGGCGUUUCCCUCCAGCAGGCGCACCUGUGCCGCGUUUCCCCAUCAAGCGUUGCUGUGUAUUUAAGGACUGUCCUGCUGCCUGGUCAUCGUCGGAUUAUUGACCGUUCUUGCUGUUGUGCGUCAAGUGUUGCAUUCUAGACCUUUCGAUACCUUUCAUAGUCACGCUUGUUUUCUCAUAGACCUUUUUGACUGGUUACAAAAAGCCAAGGAAAAACCAAAAUUUGCAGUUAUAAUUCCACGAUGCUGGUUGAGCUUGAUCCCGUGAGCCUUCAUCUUACCAGCUUCUCCCAUCCUCGUCACCUUUCUUCAUCACCAUGAGCCCUAAUACCGCAGCUUGGAAAAUUCCACACUGCAGCAAAGAGACG
Hippocampus comes (tiger tail seahorse) is the source of this 932-nucleotide long non-coding RNA. RefSeq lists it as uncharacterized. The record is from RefSeq and is a predicted model, not a curated record. NCBI's taxonomy places the organism in Eukaryota, Metazoa, Chordata, Actinopteri, Syngnathiformes, Syngnathidae. The transcript has 3 exons.